This 108-nucleotide small RNA is filed under the name Marmota monax (woodchuck). Lineage: Eukaryota; Metazoa; Chordata; Mammalia; Rodentia; Sciuridae. The record is from RNAcentral.
GCUGGGCAUGGUGCCACAUGCCUGUAAUUCCAUCUACUCACGAGGCUGAGGCAGGAGGAUUGCAAAUUUGAGGUCAGCCCUGGGCACCUUAGUGAGACCCUGUCUCAA